This 374-nucleotide unclassified non-coding RNA is filed under the name uncultured Russula. RNAcentral describes it as "sequence contains ITS2". Lineage: Eukaryota; Fungi; Basidiomycota; Agaricomycetes; Russulales; Russulaceae. The record is from RNAcentral.
AACGCACCUUGCGCCCCUUGGCAUUCCGAGGGGCACACCCGUUUGAGUGUCGUGAAAUCUUCAAAAACCCUUUUUUCUUUGAACCAUUGUGGUCGGAAAAAGGAUUUUUGGACUUGGAGGCUUUAAUGCUUGCCCUUUCUUUUCUUUGAAAGCGAGCUCCUCUCAAAUGAAUUAGUGGGGUCCGCUUUGCUGAUCCUUGACGUGAUAAAAUGUUUCUACGUUUUGGGUUUAGCACUGUCCCUUGGAUGCCUGCUGCUAACUGUCUCAUUGACAAUGAUGGUGCUCCGGUCACUGCCGUCUACGUCGGCGGGAGGCUGGACCCACAAAAAGAAAACCUUGACCUCAAAUCGGGUGAGACUACCCGCUGAACUUAA